UAUAGGGGAAAGCCAGCUGCUGUGAUGUGAAGAAACUCAAGCUAGACAACAGCAGGGUGUAUGUACUUAGAUAUGGUGUAUCAAUAUCCACGUCCUCCAAUGGUCCCAGCUCAGACUCCGUACUUCCAAGGAAAAACAAACUUCUCACAACAUUGUCAUCUUCCACAGGGGACCCAUGGGGAGACCUCCAGCCAGGCCCUUCCAGAGAGCCACAGGGAACAGUAACACAUUGUUUUUACCGCCAAGCUUCGCUGAAAUUCUUUGACUAGCAGUAGAAAACCGGUUUCGUCCUGCCAUACAAAAUCCUCUGUACCAGAAGCGCGAGGGAGCAAUUUCCACUUAACCUCAAUUCCAAGAAAAGCUGGGCAGCAGAGAGACAUCGGACUGUUUGGGAAAGAAAUAAUCCCAUCUGGUCCGGGAGGAGUGCCCAGUGCUGUGUGGAGGUAUGUCUCUAGAGCAUCCGCUGGUGCCGCGCCCCAGAAGCACCAAGGACCACAGGAUGAUUCUACAAGCAUUGUGGACGGGCUCCAGUGUAAGGCCCCUUCAGCAACCUCUCCACUUCCGCGUCUGCUGUUGCUUGGCAACCGUCUCAGUGACACCCUUUCUUUUCUGCCAACAGCUCUUCCAAACCUGCCAUUUCUUUCCCGGCUCUGCCUGUGCUCUCUCUACAGGUGAUGGCAGAAGGAACUCAUUAUAGUUAGGAUGCCGUGGGGAUUUUCUCCUGCCUUCUUUCUGCUGCCUUUUAGGCCUGGCGACUCAGCAGCUAAGUCCCAAUAAAUGUGUGAUAUCUUCUCAAAUCCGAAGGGGAAAAAAAAAUGAACUUUUGUUAGAGAGUGUGACCUUUGUUCUAAGCAAGCCUUUCUGUUGGAGACAGUCAUUCCUGUCAGCAAUUACUGUGGAAACUCUACUCUCUCAGCUUCAAUCUCUAUGCUUCCUGGAACCUCCCCUCAUUGUGUAAGCAAAUGGACAAACCUCCCCUUCCUGCCAUCCCCCUGCACUAGUUUCUUUGUACCCUUGUCACUGAAGGGAAGGCCACAAGAAGGGAAGGGUGGUCCAUGCUCAU
Peromyscus maniculatus bairdii (prairie deer mouse) is the source of this 1063-nucleotide long non-coding RNA. RefSeq lists it as uncharacterized. NCBI's taxonomy places the organism in Eukaryota, Metazoa, Chordata, Mammalia, Rodentia, Cricetidae. The record is from RefSeq and is a predicted model, not a curated record.